RNAcentral lists this ribosomal RNA (1283 nucleotides) under Halomonas sp. MML1909. RNAcentral describes it as "bacterial SSU rRNA". It matches the Rfam family "Bacterial small subunit ribosomal RNA", at positions 77 to 1355 of the family's 1533-position model. Lineage: Bacteria; Pseudomonadati; Pseudomonadota; Gammaproteobacteria; Oceanospirillales; Halomonadaceae. The record is from RNAcentral.
CUUGCUACGUGGCAUCGAGCGACGGACGGGUGAGUAAUGCAUAUGAAUCUGCCCGAUAGUGGGGGAUAACCUGGGGAAACUCAGGCUAAUACCGCAUACUUCCUACGGGAGAAAGCAGGGGAUCUUCCGACCUUGCGCUAUCGGAUGAGCCUAUGUCGGAUUAGCUAGUUGGUGAGGUAACGGCUCACCAAGGCGACGAUCCGUAGCUGGUCUGAGAGGAUGAUCAGCCACACUGGGACUGAGACACGGCACAGACUCCUACGGGAGGCAGCAGUGGGGAAUUUUGGAAAAUGGGGGAAACCCUGAUUCCAGCCAUGCCCGCGUGUUUAAAAAAGUCCUUCGGGUUGUAAAGCAUUUUAAGUGGGGAAGAAGGCUUGGGGGUUAAUACCCCUCAGGAAGGACAUCACUCGCAGAAGAAGCACGGGCUAAUUCGGUGCCAGCAGCCGCGGUAAUACGGAGGGUGCGAGCGUUAAUGGGAAUUACUGGGCGUAAAGCGCGCGUAGGUGGUUUGAUAAGCCGGUUGUGAAAGCCCCGGGCUCAACCUGGGAACGGCAUCCGGAACUGUCAGGCUAGAGUGCAGGAGAGGAAGGUAGAAUUCCCGGUGUAGCGGUGAAAUGCGUAGAGAUCGGGAGGAAUACCAGUGGCGAAGGCGGCCUUCUGGACUGACACUGACACUGAGGUGCGAAAGCGUGGGUAGCAAACAGGAUUAGAUACCUUGGUAGUCCACGCCGUAAAGGAUGUCGAUUAGCCGUUGGGGUCCUUGAGACCUUUGUGGCGCAGUUAACGCGAUAAGUCGACCGCCUGGGGAGUACGGCCGCAAGGUUAAAACUCAAAUGAAUUGACGGGGGCCCGCACAAGCGGUGGAGCAUGUGGUUUAAUUGGAUGCAACGCGAAGAACCUUACCUACCCUUGACAUCGUGCGAACUUUCCAGAGAUGGAUUGGUGCCUUCGGGAACGCACAGCCAGGUGCUGCAUGGCUGUCGUCAGCUCGUGUUGUGAAAUGUUGGGUUAAGUCCCGUAACGAGCGCAACCCUUGUCCCUAUUUGCCAGAGAUUCGGUCGGGAACUCUAGGGAGACUGCCGGUGACAAACCGGAGGAAGGUGGGGACGACGUCAAGUCAUCAUGGCCCUUACGGGUAGGGCUACACACGUGCUACAAUGGUCGGUACAAAGGGUUGCAAAGCCGCGAGGUGGAGCUAAUCCCAUAAAGCCGGUCGUAGUCCGGAUCGGAGUCUGCAACUCGACUCCGUGAAGUCGGAAUCGCUAGUAAUCGGGAAUCAGAAU